UAGGGAAUCUUCGGCAAUGGACGGAAGUCUGACCGAGCAACGCCGCGUGAGUGAAGAAGGUUUUCGGAUCGUAAAACUCUGUUGGUAGAGAAGAACGUUGGUGAGAGUGGAAAGCUCAUCAAGUGACGGUAACUACCCAGAAAGGGACGGCUAACUACGUGUCAG
This 165-nucleotide ribosomal RNA is filed under the name uncultured bacterium. RNAcentral describes it as "partial 16S rRNA". It matches the Rfam family "Bacterial small subunit ribosomal RNA", at positions 355 to 511 of the family's 1533-position model. The record is from RNAcentral.